Molecule: ribosomal RNA, 822 nt
Filed under: Triticum aestivum (bread wheat)
Lineage: Eukaryota; Viridiplantae; Streptophyta; Magnoliopsida; Poales; Poaceae
Description: partial small subunit ribosomal RNA
Source: RNAcentral
CUGCCGAAAUCAAAAGGCGGCAUGGGGUUCUGAGACAUGAGAGCAUUUAACCAAGCUAUGUUGGCUAAACAGGCUUGGCGUUUAAUUGAUUCCCCGUAUAGUUUGUGUGCCCGCCUUCUAAAGGCCAAGUAUUAUCCAAACGGUAAUAUUUUUGAUACUAUAUUUUGGGCGAACUCAUCAGCAGUAUGGAAAGGUAUUGUUUAUGGCCUGGAUAUGGUUAAGAAGGGUAUAUGGAGAGUAGGCGACGGUGCUGCGAUUAAAGCAUGGCGCGGUCCAUGGAUUCCGUGUGGCCAUGAUUACCGGCCGGUUACGCCUAAGUGAAACUGUAGGUUUAAUCGUGUUUCUGAUUUUCUUGGUACUAAUGGUGCAUGAAAUACGGAGCGACUUGAGGAGCAUUUUUGGCCUAUGGACGUACAUCAUAUUUUGAAAAUUUGAAGUUCACCUAAAAAUUGUCAUGAUUUCCUUGCCUGGGCUCCUGAAAAGAAUGGGAGAUUUAGUGUGAAGAGUGCUUAACGGCUGGCUAUGCAUGAACACGAGGAUAAUUUUGCAGGUGGUGCUUCCAGUACCUGUUCGGGUGGUGAGCGUUCUCUAUGGUCAUGUAUCUGGCGAGCGAAAGUUCCGAUCAAGAUGCGGGUCACCGCCUGGAAGGUUGCGUCUGGGGCCUUAGCGACAAAUGAAUGCAAAGUGACUAGACAUCUCUCAAAUCGUGAAACAUGUCAUCCGUGUGGCCUUGAAGUGGAGAGCUCCUUCCAUGCUUUGAUUACAUGCGGCCAUGCAAGGGCCCUUUGGAGGCCAUGCAUGAGUUCUGGCCGCUUCCGGUAA